GAAAGUGUAGCUCAAGCGGUAGAGCACAUGCUUAGCAUGCAUGAGGUCCUGGGUUCAAUCCCCAGUACCUCCU
RNAcentral lists this transfer RNA (73 nucleotides) under Camelus bactrianus (Bactrian camel). It matches the Rfam family "tRNA". Rfam says of the family: Transfer RNA (tRNA) molecules are approximately 80 nucleotides in length. Their secondary structure includes four short double-helical elements and three loops (D, anti-codon, and T loops). The record is from Rfam by way of RNAcentral. Lineage: Eukaryota; Metazoa; Chordata; Mammalia; Artiodactyla; Camelidae. RNAcentral also lists the same sequence under 2 other names.